RNAcentral lists this ribosomal RNA (939 nucleotides) under uncultured bacterium. RNAcentral's name for it is "bacterial SSU rRNA". It matches the Rfam family "Bacterial small subunit ribosomal RNA", at positions 52 to 1002 of the family's 1533-position model. The record is from RNAcentral.
CACAUGCAAGUCGAACGGAGCUGAGAGGAGCUUGCUUUUCUUAGCUUAGUGGCGAACGGGUGAGUAACGCGUGAGUAACCUGCCCUGGAGUGGGGGACAACAGUUGGAAACGACUGCUAAUACCGCAUAAGCCCACGGCCCGGCAUCGGGCUGAGGGAAAAGGAUUUAUUCGCUUCAGGAUGGACUCGCGUCCAAUUAGCUAGUUGGUGAGGUAACGGCCCACCAAGGCGACGAUUGGUAGCCGGACUGAGAGGUUGAACGGCCACAUUGGGACUGAGACACGGCCCAGACUCCUACGGGAGGCAGCAGUGGGGGAUAUUGCACAAUGGGGGAAACCCUGAUGCAGCGACGCCGCGUGGAGGAAGAAGGUUUUCGGAUUGUAAACUCCUGUCGUUAGGGACGAUAAUGACGGUACCUAACAAGAAAGCACCGGCUAACUACGUGCCAGCAGCCGCGGUAAAACGUAGGGUGCAAGCGUUGUCCGGAAUUACUGGGUGUAAAGGGAGCGCAGGCGGACCGGCAAGUUGGAAGUGAAAACUAUGGGCUCAACCCAUAAAUUGCUUUCAAAACUGCUGGCCUUGAGUAGUGCAGAGGUAGGUGGAAUUCCCGGUGUAGCGGUGGAAUGCGUAGAUAUCGGGAGGAACACCAGUGGCGAAGGCGACCUACUGGGCACCAACUGACGCUGAGGCUCGAAAGCAUGGGUAGCAAACAGGAUUAGAUACCCUGGUAGUCCAUGCCGUAAACGAUGAUUACUAGGUGUUGGAGGAUUGACCCCUUCAGUGCCGCAGUUAACACAAUAAGUAAUCCACCUGGGGAGUACGACCGCAAGGUUGAAACUCAAAGGAAUUGACGGGGGCCCGCACAAGCAGUGGAGUAUGUGGUUUAAUUCGAAGCAACGCGAAGAACCUUACCAGGUCUUGACAUCCGAUGCAUAGCUUA